UGAUACCUGGCGGCAGCAGGGAGGGGCAGGGCUGGGAGGCAGGACUGCAUCCAUCCGUGUUGAACAGGCUCCGCCCCCGCCCCACUCUCAGGAGUCCCUGGAGCUCUCGGUUCUGGUUCCCUCCAUCCUUACCCUACUCACCUCUCCUCCUCCUCACUAAUGGGACCGAUUGCCCCCGAGAUGCCUGGAAGGCACUGUACUCUCUCCGCAUCUCACUUCCAGCCCUUUGCAUGUUCUGUCUGGAACAUCCUUCCUCCUCCUCUUCCUUAAUUCCUACUUACCUUUGCCUUCUCUGCUUUGAACUUAUCUUUGCCUAUACAGAAUCAUCGCCUAACCUCCAUGCUGGCCUAGCAGCCCCUGACCACCCACAGUGCCCAGCGCAGCUACUGGCCCAUCCUGGGCUCCCGGGCUGAGUCUUGGUAGGAGCCUAGAGCUGCUGCCCCAAGAGUGACAAAUGAAGGCCACAGGGUCUGGCCAAGCACCCCAAACUUGCUGUUCACGGAUCAGCCUCAGGAGGACCCCUCACCACAAGUCUCCUUUGACCUUGGAGUCCACCACCGGCAUACACAGGACUCUGUAUCAUGGGGCUGGAAGUCCCCACUGUAAU
Long non-coding RNA from Ailuropoda melanoleuca (giant panda), 607 nucleotides. RefSeq lists it as uncharacterized. The transcript has 3 exons. NCBI's taxonomy places the organism in Eukaryota, Metazoa, Chordata, Mammalia, Carnivora, Ursidae. The record is from RefSeq and is a predicted model, not a curated record.